GUCGAAUAUCAACAGAGAGAACCUGUACUGUAAGUUAAAAUAACGAAAAGCUAAAGUGCUCCCAUGAAACAUAAGGAAUAUCUGCUUAGUAAGCCCAGUAGCAAUUCUCUAUCUUUAUAUGUAUCUUCUCUUGUAAACAAGUGGUUCUUUUUCGUUUUUGUUUCUUUCUAACCUUUGUGGCAAUACAAUUUUUCAGAUGAGUUUUCUUUAUUGAGAAAGGUCAUGUGGCUAACCUUUUUCCCCCAAGUUUUAAUCCACACUAGUAGUAUUUCGUAGGAAACCAUUGAAUCCAAAUCAAUCGGCAUUGUAACUCCUUUUUUU
RNAcentral lists this long non-coding RNA (321 nucleotides) under Brassica napus (rape). Its description in RNAcentral is "long non-coding RNA (BNAP_LNC007108)". Lineage: Eukaryota; Viridiplantae; Streptophyta; Magnoliopsida; Brassicales; Brassicaceae. The record is from RNAcentral.